GUCUACAGCCAUGCCAUCCUGAAAAAGCCCAAUCCCGUCUGAUCUCGGAAGCAGGGUCAGGCCUGGUUACCAGUACUUGGAUGGGAGACCACCUAGGAAGACCAGGUGCUGCAGGCG
This 117-nucleotide ribosomal RNA is filed under the name Pteropus alecto (black flying fox). The record is from RNAcentral. Lineage: Eukaryota; Metazoa; Chordata; Mammalia; Chiroptera; Pteropodidae.